UCCUGUGAGAUUUCAGGUAGCCUAUAUAUAAGAUAUAAUAAAACUAAAAUUCUUAACCUAGUUAUAACAUUUUGAAUUAUAAUUAAUUAGAUCUAAAAAAUUAAGAGAGUUAAACAUGUUAGGGCUAAAAUAAUUCUAUAAUGGGUGACUCCUUGGAAAGCGAUGCGUCACAUAUCCAUCCUUCAUUCAUGAUCGCUAUAGCAAAAUUAUCUUUUAGUGACGAUUAUCUUUAAAUGGAUAAUAUCUAAUACGUUCUUUAAAAUUUUAAAAAUAUCUUAUUUAUUUUUAGGAGACCAUAA
This 299-nucleotide long non-coding RNA is filed under the name Ananas comosus (pineapple). RNAcentral's name for it is "long non-coding RNA (ACOM_LNC033688)". The record is from RNAcentral. Lineage: Eukaryota; Viridiplantae; Streptophyta; Magnoliopsida; Poales; Bromeliaceae.